Scylla paramamosain (green mud crab) is the source of this 4439-nucleotide long non-coding RNA. RefSeq lists it as uncharacterized. The record is from RefSeq and is a predicted model, not a curated record. The transcript has 3 exons. Lineage: Eukaryota; Metazoa; Arthropoda; Malacostraca; Decapoda; Portunidae.
GAGACAACUGUCUUCCUCCCUCGCCUCAUCGAUCCGUCUCUUUUUCGCCUCGUCACUACCAUUUUCCUUCAAAACUUAAGAUAUUCUUUUUAGAGGAAGAUGUCUGAAGGACAUUCUUUCAAUAACAAUAAGGGUGGUUGUGGAACUGGCCCAUUUUGUCUUAGCCUCGGCUUUGUCAUUUAUUCUUAUAUCAGCUACGUACUGACACCAGUUCUCUUGUUACCUGUUUGAUAUUUCUUGUUUAUCCACCAUAAAACAACAGUACAACCUAUUUGAGGCAGCAUCUCUCAAACCCAAUGCUUUUUAAAGAAAAGAAACUGCUUCGUAUCGUACGCAUUAUUAUAUGUUUCUUGCAAUUUUAAUAUUUCAUUGUAUGUUUCUCUUCUGGUAUUCAUUGGAUAACUUAUAUAGUGUUUCUUUAUAUUGUAUAUUUGCUCACAGUCUUAAGUUUCAUAGUUUUAAGAAUUACAGAGACACCAUAUCCUUCACUUAGCUGCCUUUCCCCUCUCAUCCUUCGCUCUCCUUUACCUCUUCGUCAGCUAUAGCUAAUGACUAUUUGCCUUCUAACUCAUCAUGGUAGUUUAUACUUUGCUUCCACAAGACAAACCUUUUAUUACAUUUUUUUUCGUAAAAUACAAACUUGAAUCAAAAUUAAAAAUGCUCGAUUUAAUGGAAGAACUAGAACAGUAAUGAUGGAUGAAUGAAUACAUAGUUCGAAGCCUCGCACCUCAUGUCAACGCCUCGGCCCACGCGAGACAGGCGGAGCACUUCUGGGGCUGGUGGCCUUAGUCCACUGUGUUAGAUGGUGGUAGGGACGUCGUGAGUGAUGAUCAACAAACGGCUUUUGAAGCAGAUGAGAGCUGGCUGAAAUGCUGUGAUGCGAUGUGGGCCUGUUGAAUAACUGAUGCCCGAGGCUGCCAGCGUCUUGCUAGGACAGGAAAUUUUCAAAGGUAUCCACUUAUCUACUUGGAGGAAGAAUUGGUGGCUGGGCAAGCUGUGCACUGACUACCCUUGGUGGGAUUUGAACAAGGACUUGAAGACGCAGCGAAGAGCACUAGCUACUGCACCAAGGAGAAUGCAAGGCAACUCAUAAAUCAGCAUUAUUACUAUAUUAGAAAGGAAAGCAGGCUGUAUAUUUUGUAUGGUCAUGAAAGACAGUUAAAAAUAGAUCUAUUUAUUUUCUGUAUUGGAAAAUUGUUUGGAUAAUUGUGUGCAUGACUUUUUGCAUCCAGUGCACACUUAAUAUCCCUGCAUUACAGAUCUCAGCAGGCACCGUAUCAUUCACCGAGAUCCCUCUUUGCUGAAGUGGAUAAACUUCUGUGGCUAGAAAGAACUGUAUGUAUAUCUAGGCGUGUGUUGGUGGUGGGGCAAGGCUUUAAUAAUCUAUAAAUAUGAAGUAGGAAUGUAUCAAAUGUUCAAAUACAAUGAGAUAUGAGACUUCCCUAUGUUGUGGAUGUAACAGUUCACAACUCUUAUAAAGAUUUUUCUUGCAAUAUAGAAGACAGGAUUUCAAUGGCGUUCCAGAUGGAAAAAAGGAUGAAGACAGAAGACCAAGUAGGGUUAAAAGUACUGCAAAAUAAUAAUUUACGUAGAUAUCAAGCUGACAUUUACUGUGAAGUGUUUGCUGAGAGUUCACCAUAUGCCCACAGUUAAGUAAUGAAAUGCCAUUAGUUUGGUAAAUGAUUGAGGGUGAAAUAUAGGGUGACUGUUAAGCUGCCUGAGGAGGUAGAUGAAAAAUGGAGAGCAGUUGUGAAUGUAUGAAUGGAGAUGCAGCCUUGAUUAAUUAUGUUCUGUAUGUAAAGGUCAAGGAUAGGAUAUAUUAUUGUGAAAAAGGGAUAAACCAGAAUUGCUUUAGGGCAUGGAUAUGGGAACUGCUUAGCAACAAACACUGGGCAAGAAAAGAGAUCCUUUCUCUUCUUUCAUACUUGUGUAUGAAUGUAUGCAUAUAGAUCCCUCUUCAUACUGAAUGUCUAUCUAGAAUAUAAUCAGAUUAUCAUUCUUAGAGUGGUGUAUAAAAUCAUCCAAGAAAGAAGUGUGCCUUGUCUGGCCUAUCCCCCUUUUUGAGAAACAGCCUUGGCAUAUGUGUAUGUACUGUUGUUACCAACAUUAGCUAUAUCCUAUUGCUGUCAGUCAUACAGUAAGGACAGACAAGGCACCCUAACCAUUAUCUGAUUAUUCUUUCUCUCAAGGAACCCUAACUAUUCUCACAAACCCACUGCUUACAAACCACAGCCCCUCCCCACCAAUCAAAAGUGCAUGCUGUCUAAAGAAAUUUUGAGAGCAUUUGAGGCAUCCUGCAUUGUGUCAAAAUAAAGUGAGAAAAAGGCUUUUGACUCAGAGUUUGAUGAACCAUAACUACCAUACUACCAUAACUUUAUUAUAUAAUCAAAAUGACCAGCAGACGAUCAAAAUCAUGGUAGCCUCAAAAAAUAUUUGAGACCAAUGAUAUUCACUACCUAAUUUUUGUAUGUCUUUUUGCAAAUUUAGUUAUGGUUUUGGAAGUUCACCAAAGUCUGAGUGUAUUUGUUCUCUGAAUACUUCACACAAUAAUAAUAAUUCAUGAAUAUUGAACAUAAGAAUACAAAAUAACUAUUAACAAUGACAAAGUGGAAAAAUUGUGAAGAAACUGGACAGUGGGUUAAGGGUUGCUCAUCCCAUUACUAAUACACAGCAGAAAAGCUGGGAGCAUCCUUUCUAUCUCAACAGACACCAAAAUGAAAGGAAUUAACUGUUAAUUUUCAAAACUAUAAUGGCAGCUCAUUCUGGAUGGGCAGCCUUUCUAACACAGAAUAUUGCUUAGCAGUGUGUUGCACCUGCAUUGAUGGUCAACUAAACAUAAAAAUUAUUUGCUCCUUGUAUAGAUUUUUAACCGUACUACCAGGACACUCAUCCACUCCAGGGGAAAGUCAAGACAAUAUUGUGCUAUACUCAGGUUUGGCCAGGAUGGUGCGAGUGGCCCUUUUAAAGCAGGACACCUCAUUUGUUGUGACAAGACAAGAUCCAUAAUUGAGUACAAUGGAUACAGCAUGGGUGCUGGUGCAACUUGAGAAAAAAUUGUGGUGUUGUGGACUGGGUGAAACAUUUUCAGUGGUUAUAAUCACAGGUGGGCGUUAUUACAAUAAAUUAUUAUUGUGAUAAUAACAAUUGUGAUAAUUAUUUUUCCAUGUUAUUGAUUCACUGGUAUUGUCGAUAUUUUUGUUUCCAAACUAGUGAUAAUCAAUAAUUUUAAUUUUUGGGACAUGAGCAUGUUGAAAAUCAAAUGUUAUUUUACUUAAAAAUUUUUCAUUAGAAAUAUGGUUAUUUUCCUUAAAAUAGUCUAUUUUAUUUUUCAUUACUGAAAAGAUAAUGUUUGAAUUUAAAUUUUUCUAAGAAAACUUUAUUUUAAAGAUUUUAACUAAAUAUCAAUUUUUUAAAUUUAAAAUCAAUAUUGUUAUCGCUAGUAUUGGGAUUUUAGAUUAUCGGUUAUCAGAUGAUAAAUAUAUCACCAGUUCACCAAUAAGGUUAUUGUUAUCAAUUUAUCACUUAUCAAAAUCAAUUUUUUCGUUAUCAUGUCCAGCUAUGGUUAUAACCAUACUGAGAAUAAAGAGGGAAGUGUUUGUAAAGAAUGAUAGAAGUUUAAGGUGCUAGCUAAUAGGAGAGGAAGGCAGUUUUUAAGAUGAAAGGAUAAAGGAGCACAUGUAAGCAAGAGGUGAUAGUAGAGGCAAAGUGCUUACUUGAACAACUGAGAAGAGGAUAUUUAGAUUGCAAGAGAUGGAGGCUCUUUUGCCUAGGCCACCCCAUAGGGAAAGUGAGCUAUUAAAGAGAAUCUUGCUUCCUCUGUGACUGCAUCCCAAUAGGAUGGUCAUGGCCACUUCUUCCUACCUAAGCAUACUAUUCUUGGUUCUUGAAGCACCUACCCUGCUGUCUGUACUCACUUCUUCCUACCUAAGCAUACUAUUCUUGGUUCUUGAAGCACCUAGCCUGUUGUCUGUACUAACAUUUCCUGCACACACAUUCUGUAUUUUUCUUCCUACAAAUGCCCUUCUAGAAUCAACUUCCAUCUUUAAAAAAACUCUUCUCUUCAUUCUAACCAAUACAACUACAACCUAACCAAUAUAUAUUGGCUAUAACCACAUCUUUUUCUUUCACCCAUUCCACAACUAAAUGUACAGCACAUGCACUGACACUGUACCACAUCUCUUGUACUCAUUGUUCUCAUUCUCUUGUCACUUGGGUCCCAAAUCUUCUUCUUUAACUCAUUUACAUAACUCGUUUACAUGACAUACUAUCUUGAGAGGGAAGUAGGGGGAGUGCUUUGAAAACACUGGAUCUGUAGCCUGAGAUCUCUCUCUUAGACCACAGAUGGUAUGUCUACAAACCACAACCCAAAAAUAGCAUUUGUGUACAUGUUUCUCUAACAGCACAUUUGCAUUCAUAUCUAAAUAAAAUAAUGAUGAUGA